GCCCGGCUAGCUCAAUCGGUAGAGCGUGAGACUCUUAAGUCCAGGUCCAUCUCAAGGUUGUGGGUUCGACCCCCACGUCGGGCU
Non-coding RNA from Parachaetomium inaequale, 84 nucleotides. The record is from the annotation of a GenBank genome assembly. NCBI's taxonomy places the organism in Eukaryota, Fungi, Ascomycota, Sordariomycetes, Sordariales, Chaetomiaceae.